RNAcentral lists this microRNA precursor (277 nucleotides) under Homo sapiens (human). RNAcentral describes it as "long non-coding RNA NONHSAT244698". The record is from RNAcentral. Lineage: Eukaryota; Metazoa; Chordata; Mammalia; Primates; Hominidae.
CUCAGGUGGUCCACCUGCCUCAGCCUUCCAAAGCGUUGGGAUUACAGGCAUGAGCCAUCGCACCCGCCUCUUUAGGUGUUCUUUUAGGAGCUGGUAGCGGAGGAAGGUGGUUACCCAUCUGUGACAGAGCCUUGGAUGUCACGAGGCCACAGGCUGGCCUUUCCUCCUGUUUACAGGAGGUGAGUUUUCCUGAGUUCCCAGCCUCAGUGUUCUCUGCACAGUCUGUCACUGACUCCCGCUCCCAGUGCUCACUGCCUCUUGUUCUCACUGCCUCCUG